GUUACACUACUCCAACUACAAAGUUUAAUAACAAUGUAUCUUCUACUAUUACAAAAUUACCUUUUCCCCUCUUUAAACAUUUCUUCAUAUACAUUUCAUUAUUGCACAUGGAAUGGAAUGUUAGAUCAUUUGAGAAUGAGAUUGAUGUGUUAAUACUUAGAAAUUUCAAGUGAUCUUUAUGUAAAUGAGAUAGAUAUGUUUUUUUUUAAGUGGGAAUGAAAUGUUGCACACAAGUUAAUUUCUCAUGUAGACCUUUGUAUUAUCAAGAGUUGUUUUUCCAGCAUUAUCAAUACAUAACUGAAUUGUCUUAAGAAUGACAAAUAUUUUGUUGACAAAAUUGUUGCCACUUCAAUAAUUUCUUUGCACCAAAAGAAUUAGUUUCCCUUUCCUGUUAUAACAUUGCACAAAAAAAAAAAUAGAAAAGCAUGUUCUGGUGUCUUAUAAGUUAUAAUCUAACUUUACCCUUUGCUGUCAUAAAUUGUUUUAUACUAUCAGUAAAUAAAGUGUCCCUUAAAUAGAAACUUCUCAUUAAGCAUUGUACAUGUUUUACUCUGCCAGAUUUAACUAGCUUGGAAAUAUCCUCAUUCAAGAGUUCAAGACCAAGACAAAUCCACUUUCUAAAAAAUAUCCACCAUAUGAGGUGGGACUAUAGAAGAAAAUAAGAAAUACUACUGUGGUUUGAGAUCAAAUUCUAGCUUAACUACAAAAUCAACUUUCAAAACAAGGGAAAGAUGUUGUUAUUAAAAUAAAGGCAGUGCUGUUUUUCAUUCUAGAGAAACAAGAACAAGAGUAUCAUAAACUACAAUUCUAGUUUUAUUGUUUUUAAAAUACCAAAAACAUGUUUUUCUAGUAAAAAUUUAAAUAAGAAAAAGAAGCCUGAUUGGGUUGUCUAGAGCAGGUUUUCGGAACAUGUUACGGCUGCUGCGAAAUCUUGUUCAGAAGACAAUCUGGGAGGCAGAAAAAAGUCCACCUUGGUCCAGAAAAUGAUAUCAGGGAGUGAGGUUGAUUAUGACCUCAUGGUAAUUCAGAUUUACAUGAGCAUGAAUCCUUAAAUGCUUGAAGAUCACCCUUAGAAUAAAAGCUAAUUUGGCAUGAAAAUAUCUUCUGACAAAAAGAAACAGCAUUAUGCUUAGUUUACUUCCUGAUUGAGAGGAGCUCAAAGCUCCGAAGAGGAUCAUCGUGAUUGCCUCUAAUCGAUCCAGCGCGUGUGAAACUUGCUUGUUUUGUCUCAUACAUGGGUUGGAUUCUCUGUGCUGUAGAUGGGCGGAUGACACUUGAGGUCAGCUGGCCAGUACGGCUGUCAGUAUAGUCAUCUGAGGAACUUGGAAUGGCUGAUGGGACUAUUGGUCUUCUUGAACUGCUGCCAUAUCGAGACGAACUGCGUCCCUUCUCUUGACCAUGAUACUGAAAAACCCAAGGUAAAAACUAAAUGUGAGAAUGAUUGAGUAGAAAAUAUAAACAUGUAAAAGUGUUGGCCAUCAGCUACGAAGUACGGAUACAGAUACUAGACACAAAUACGAACCAUUCAGAUACCUUGAUAUGGAAAAAUUCAUAAUAUAAUAGAAAGAUAUAUAGAGAAACUUGUGUAAAUUCUGUAUAGGUGCUAUAUGGGCAUCAGUAUGCAGUAAUGCACUAUGCAGCAUGCAGCAUCUUCACUGUUGAAAAAAAAGAUUUACCACAUCCUUGCGCACUGCUACUUCAUCAGAAGUCCUAUGUUUGGUGUGAUCAUCACGAGGGCUAGAACCUGUUGGGUUCCUCCUGGAGAAUGCUUCAACAGCACCAGAGAAUUUCUCUCGAAUCUCUUUCCCAACUGAAAGAAGCAAUUGCAUGACCAAGAAUUAUACAAACAGAAAUUUGGGAAAAGCAUAGUAGUUUGACCACUAUUGAUAAUUAUUUUCUGAAAUCCAUAGGCUUAAUUAAGUUUUUGGUCCUUAAAAUAGGACUGUUUUUCGGUCAGGCUUAAUAAGAAUGAGUGUUUGCAUCAAACUUAAUUAAGCGCUUAUCUAAUAAGUUAUUUUGAAAAUAUGUCAGACCAAGCGAAGGGUUACCUUUGACCCAUGACCAAAGGGCAUCUUUUGGCCCAUGACAAUGGGAGAAAGGUUGGGCUCUAGCUCUGAGACCAUGUAAAGGUUCCAUCUCAAACCAAUUGGCAAUGAGAGGAGUAGCCCAACAAGUAUUUAAACCAUGCUUAGGAGAAUGAGGUAGGCGAUGGGAGACUUACUUCCCAACAAUCUCUAUAAGCUCUUCUAAAAAUCCCUUAGUAGGAUUAUCCUAUUCUACCGAAAGAGAGCGGACCUGAGAUCUUUUCUGGCUUUUGUACAGAUGGUCCUGGAUUCAUAGCUGCCUUGCCACUAUCAUGCUGCUAUUAAACAACUAUAGUAAGAGACCUCCACUGGAAGCAGAAUCAUAAAAAGCAAGAUAUAAAAGUACUAACCCGCCCUCUAGAGCUGCUACCAAUCUGUGGAUACUUCAAUAUAGUCCAGUCAAAAACAUAGUCAAAUUGAUAGCCUGCACUAACAAUAUCCAAAUCAAUUUCUAUUCAGAACGCUAGUAUCAAGUUUAGAUGUUGAGUAAGGGACCUUCUCGAAUGAAUAAAUCUCGAAAAAGCCUUUUUAAAUAUGAGUACUCUGGCUUGUCCUCAAACCGCAAUGAUUGGCAAUAAUGGAAAUAUGAAACAAAUUCUGAGGGAUAUGACUUGCAGAGCACCUGUUAUUAUACAAAAUAACAGGACCAAUAAAAUUAAAGCCACAUCAGAAGGGGAAAAGACGAGAACAAAAUGUCCAAGUUAUGUAAACUGUUGAAUGCAAAGAAUAUAUGGUUAUGACUUACAAAGGGAAAAUCAACAUGAGAGAGUUUAGUUGAUUGUAACAUUCAAUAUCAGUAGCAUAAAUCAACCUAGUUCUAAUGCACAAGAGAAACAUGCACUUUGGUUUGAAAUAAGUAUUCACAUGCAAAGCACAAACUAUCAUGGAACUGGAUUUCAGGCCUCACCCGUCUUCUAUGAUAAACCUCAAUGGCAUCAUACACCAAAAUAAACUAAGCAUCAAACUCUAGAUACUGAGAAAAAUUAUUGUUCUUUACAAGCAUUGCCAAUCUAACUAAUCAAAUACCUCUAUACGAGUUGAUAUCUUCUUCUCACUGAUUUUGUCAUAUUUUUGUUUUUUGGUGCCAGCCUUCAGUCCCUGCCAAGGAAGACUGAAGAAAAAGGUUGUACAAUGAAAGACGAUAGUAAGGCAAAUAUUAUAAAGAUAUCCAAAUCUAGUAGGGGAAAUAGAUGUGUAUAUCACCAUACCUUCCUCUUAAGAAGUACAUGAGCACAUAACCAAGAGAUUCCAGAUCAUCCCUUCUGCUUUGUUCUGCGAGCAAAAUAAAGUACAAUUAAUAAAAGCAAACAUCCAAGUACAAUAAUGUAGUUAUUCACUUCCAAAUAUUGAUUAUCAACAUAACAAGGAAUAAAUACCACGACAUUACUCACCAAUUCCAAGAUGAGUGUUGACACUUGCAUACCGAGCUGUGCCUGUAAGGUUCUUGUUCUCCCUAUGAAAGAAAGACAAUGCUUCUCAAAACAAAAGAAAUAGGAAUUUUACUAAACUACCUACAUUUAGGUGAAGACAAGACCUAUUGGAUUGUCCCAAAAGUGUUUUAGCCUCCUAGAAAAUGUGUCCAACAGAUAAAUAGUGCACCAUUAAUAUCCUGAAAAGAUGAUGACAAAACUUACCUGUAUGGUAUGUGCCUAUGGGUCUUAAGAUCCCUAUAUUUUUUCGCAAGACCAUAGUCAAUGAUGUACACCUGAAAUGAGAUGCCAAUCAUGACAUAAAUACAAUUAAGUAACUGAAAUGUGCAUGUUCAACUUUAAUAUUUAUCAUCUAAAAUCUACCAAUCAUUUAUUCCAAGAUCUGUUUUGACUGUAUGAGAACCACUAAAAAGUGUAGUUCUUUUCCAUUCAUAUGAAUAACAACAGAAGCAUCUUCAACAAAAUGAAAUACCUGAUUUGCUUUACGUCCUAGGCCCAUCAGAAAAUUGUCGGGCUUUAUGUCACGGUGAAGGAAGCCUCUUGAAUGCAUAUAUUCAACUCUGUUAAUCUGAACAAUAAUGUGAAGCAAAUAAAAUGUUAAAUAGCUUUUUAAAAUACUUUAUUUGAUAAUAGUUGCCAUGUAGACUUACUAAUUGAUCAGCAAGCAUUAACACUGUCUUCAAUGUUAACUUCCGGUUGCAAUAAUUGAACAAAUCUUCCAGACUUGGACCAAGAAGGUCAAUAGCCAUGCAAUUGUAGUCUCCCUCAACUCCAAACCACUUGAGAUGGGGAAUCCCCGCUUCAUCAAUAAGGAACAAAAAAGGAUUACUCAAAAAGGACACGUCUCGAUCAUUUACACCUUUUCAGUCGUAAUUAGUUAAUAUUACUUUGAGAGUGUGGUUUAAGACUAGUGCUUCUGAUUUCAUUAACAGGAGAUCCUCAACACCAAUGAGGUUAUCCUCCGGAUUAAAGGAAAUAGAACAAAUAUAUAAUGCCGGUUUAGGAACAAUUUCCAUGCGAAAAAAUAGCAUUCAGUGUCUGCAUUAGCUAAUACUUUUAUAAUCCAAAAUGCUAAAAAGAAAUAGAGAUAUAAACUGACUUCCUCCCUGUAGAAGCGUAUACAAUUUUGACUCAUAGUGAAGCUGUGGAUGCUUGGUCUUCACAGGUUCCUGCAAAAUUUGGGGGAACAAACAAUAUCAUGAGCAAACUAAUAUCAAUAAGUGGUAUUAAAAUAAAUUCUAAAAACAUAUUUGAGUGUUCCACAAGGUAAAUCAUGGCGAUUUGAUCACAUAAGCACAAUUGAGUAGUAAAAAUGCAACCAGAAACCGGAAAACAUUAAUCAAUCUCUAAAAGAUCAUAGCAUACCAGCUUGAUAGCUACUUCCUCUCCAGUUUGUACAUUAACAGCUUGUAUAGAGAAUAGAAGGAAUAUGUUAAAAACAAUGUAUGACAAUGCUUCAAAAACAAAUUACAACUAACAUUUUUCAAAAGAAGAUACCUAUAUAAAGCUCCCCAAAAGAGCCACUCCCAAUUUUCCUUCCAAGUUUAAACUUGCCACCAACAACAUGAUCCAUCAUAAAAUCACGUUUAAUACCAGUCACACAAAGUAACUAUAUCAACCCUUUUGUACUCAGAUUUGUUCCCAACUCAGAACCUAAUUCUGCAUAACCUAGCCAAAAAAUCACUCAAAUUUUUCCACAUAAUCACCUGAUUAAGGGGUCCAUUGGGUCAAAAUUCCAAACUUUAUUCCAGAAUCCACUCAAAUCCAAUGAGAUUUCCCAACCUAUUCAACCGGUUAGGGGCAAAACCGUAAUAUGGUGUAAAACAAGGAUAAGACUAGAAAUCAAAAGAAAAAAAAAUACAAAUUUUUUAACAUCCCCAACAAUGAAGAUGAAAACUUUUUAUUCAGAAUACGAUUCCAACUUCUACAGUUACAUUCCUUUACAGAAAUCAAUCACCCCAAACGCUUCAUCAAUAAGGAACAAAAAAGGAUUACUCAAAAAGGACACGUCUCGAUCAUUUACACCUUUUCAGUCGUAAUUAGUUAAUAUUACUUUGAGAGUGUGGUUUAAGACUAGUGCUUCUGAUUUCAUUAACAGGAGAUCCUCAACACCAAUGAGGUUAUCCUCCGGAUUAAAGGAAAUAGAACAAAUAUAUAAUGCCGGUUUAGGAACAAUUUCCAUGCGAAAAAAUAGCAUUCAGUGUCUGCAUUAGCUAAUACUUUUAUAAUCCAAAAUGCUAAAAAGAAAUAGAGAUAUAAACUGACUUCCUCCCUGUAGAAGCGUAUACAAUUUUGACUCAUAGUGAAGCUGUGGAUGCUUGGUCUUCACAGGUUCCUGCAAAAUUUGGGGGAACAAACAAUAUCAUGAGCAAACUAAUAUCAAUAAGUGGUAUUAAAAUAAAUUCUAAAAACAUAUUUGAGUGUUCCACAAGGUAAAUCAUGGCGAUUUGAUCACAUAAGCACAAUUGAGUAGUAAAAAUGCAACCAGAAACCGGAAAACAUUAAUCAAUCUCUAAAAGAUCAUAGCAUACCAGCUUGAUAGCUACUUCCUCUCCAGUUUGUACAUUAACAGCUUGUAUAGAGAAUAGAAGGAAUAUGUUAAAAACAAUGUAUGACAAUGCUUCAAAAACAAAUUACAACUAACAUUUUUCAAAAGAAGAUACCUAUAUAAAGCUCCCCAAAAGAGCCACUCCCAAUUUUCCUUCCAAGUUUAAACUUGCCACCAACAACAUGAUCCAUCAUAAAAUCACGUUUAAUACCAGUCACACAAAGUAACUAUAUCAACCCUUUUGUACUCAGAUUUGUUCCCAACUCAGAACCUAAUUCUGCAUAACCUAGCCAAAAAAUCACUCAAAUUUUUCCACAUAAUCACCUGAUUAAGGGGUCCAUUGGGUCAAAAUUCCAAACUUUAUUCCAGAAUCCACUCAAAUCCAAUGAGAUUUCCCAACCUAUUCAACCGGUUAGGGGCAAAACCGUAAUAUGGUGUAAAACAAGGAUAAGACUAGAAAUCAAAAGAAAAAAAAAUACAAAUUUUUUAACAUCCCCAACAAUGAAGAUGAAAACUUUUUAUUCAGAAUACGAUUCCAACUUCUACAGUUACAUUCCUUUACAGAAAUCAAUCACCCCAAACCAUGCAUUGAAAUAAAAAAAAAGUGCAAAUAGGAAUUAAGAAAAAAAACUAAAAACUAAAACUUUAUAAGGAAAAAAUAAUGAGAAGCAAAGGAGAUUGAAGAGGGUGUGUUGAAUGAGGUAGUAACAGAGGAAGCGAGAGUUUGGAGAGAAAAGGAGAAAAGGAAAAACAAGUUUAUUAUUAUUUUAUUAUUAUUUAAAGUAUUUGUGUUUAUUACUUAACGUGGUCAAUGAAUAUAUACACUUUAAUCAUCUUUUCAAGAUUUGAUUGCCAUGUGUUAUGUUCUUAGGAAAACGUGCUUAAAUUAUUAGAGAUAAAGACGCACCAAUAAAUUUUAGAAGAACUAAUUCAAAUCUAUUUAAAUAUGGAAUAUGAUUUCUGAUAGUUUUAUUUUAUAAGCAUUUUGUUGUCAUAUGUUGUUCUAAAUGAGUAAUCUCUCAACAACAAUUUGUGAUAAAGUAUAUAAUCGAUAUUUGAUAAUACAAUUUUAUGGUAAAGUAGAAUAAUUAGUAAUUUUGGUCAAAAAUUUAAAAAAACAUGAAUAAUAAGUCGAGUAUCUAAACUUGUAAUUUAUAAAUUUCUAAAUAUGUAUAGUAACAUAAUUAUAAUAUCCUAAUAAUCAUAUAGCACAAAUGGUAAGUUGUUCAAGCCCAAGUUCACAAGACUUGAAGAUUAAGUAAUCUAUAUCAAACGAAAAAGACUUUGUAGUGUAUUUUUAAGGUCAAAAUUGCAAUUUCAAGGAAAAGUAAAGGUCAUAAAUGUUAUUGUCUAUUGAGUUUUUAGUGUAUUUUCUCCUAACUUAUCUCUCUAUUAAUGGAGAGGAGUUUAACUCAUAUCAAAAAUGGUUUCGGAUGCAGAUUCAAACCUGAAAGAAUGUCUUUUGCAGGCUAUCUCAAAUGCAUAAAAAAGUAGAGAAAGUGAAGUAUCAUCACAAGAUAUUGUGACUUCUACCGACCCUUUUGGUAGUUCUGAUGGCUUCAAAACUGAUAUAUCUAUAGUUUUCCUGUAGAAAUGUUCCAUAAACACUUGAAUAACCCUUCAUUUAUCUACAACACUAAACCCAGCAGUGUCACGUCAAAUUUUGUUAGUGCACACUCAUGUUAUGUAUUUCUUUUUUGUCCACUUACCAGUAUUGUUUGUAUGCAAAUGAAAAGGUGGAAAAAAUAAUAAUAUACAAAAAAAUCAAGGUUGAAAUAUCAUGUUCAGUUCAGUUACAACAAUAUCUUACUUCCUGAAAAAAGUGGAGAGAUCAUUACACAGUCUAGUGUAAUAAUCUCUCCAAUAAUUGACACACGGAAACUGCUACAAAUUCAGGCCCACAGAUGGAACAUUGCAUCAAAUAAUUGGUAUCAUUUUAGGCCCACUAUGCCCUACUUAAUUAAUUCUAGAGGAUUGUUCCCGAGUUGAAAUGAAAACAGAUGGCUUAAGAGCCGUUAAAUACAAUGCCGAUAUGACUUUAAAGUUUUCCAAUUCCCCUCAUUUUCUUUCAAAUUCAACUCGCAAACAGAUAAUAUAGCUGAACCCUAGAAUCCAACUUGUAGUUGGGUAGAUUCAGAUGGUGAUAGGUAUUAGGUAGAAAGAAUGAUUGAAUGAAGAAAUAGAGAAAGAGGGGUCUAAGAAUAAUAUGAUGAUAUAAAUGAGCCAUGCAACGUAACAAUCCGAAUGAAUAUGCAGCCAUGAUUUAUGAGAGGCAAGAAGUGGAGGGGUGAAGGAGGUGCUUCCAUACAACAAUUCUUGGCUCAAAACAGAUAAACGUUUUCUUAAACCAAACAUGGUGUACAAGAUUUCCCCGUAACAUGUUCCCAUGCACAGUGAUCUUGUAUAUAUAUUGUAUAACUUCACUCAUUCUUCACCUCUUCUCAAGAUAGAUAUAGUUACUUUAAUUGAAGCAAGUCAAGAUUCAAACUAGAGAUAACAAAGAGUUAAGUGUGAGUGUUUUUUCUAAGUCCCUAUUAUAGUAUUAUCCUAGGCCAUUGCCCCUGGCCUACUCAUUUCAGCUGGACCUAGCUGCUAGUAAUAAUUUCUGCACCCUUGGAUCUGCAACAAUAAUAAUAAUUAUACUGUUGAUAACGUGAGAAGGGUACAGUCCCUUAGAUUGGAGGGUACCCUUUAACUUUUCUUUGGUUGAUCAGAAAUGGAGGAGUGAUAUAUGAGUAGCUUAAAUCACUCAGUUAUGGGGAAGGUAAACUUUGGAGGCACUCCUCUACAAAUGAUUUAUUGAUUCCCUUUUUUUUUAUUAUAUAUUGUAUAAAUAAAUGAUUAAGAAAAUACCUAUAUAUAUAUAUAUAAUUUCAUACACGUUAAAUUACAUAUUAAUAAUAAUACGUAAUAUUACGAAAACUUUAUUUAAAAGAUUUAUGUAUUAUAUUUAAACAAGUGUAAAGAUGAAUACAAGUUCAAAAAAUAGCUCUGUUGACAUUCAAUGUCAGAUUAGCUUUCGAAUCUAGGGUCGAACUCAAAAAAAUAACAUGAUCGACGUUUAUAAUUGUGUAAGAAACAAGUUAAAAUGCCUUUAAUCAAUUUGUAAAGCAGUCAAAUUAAUUUAUAUUAUGUGGAAACUAUUAUAUAUAUUUGAAAUUUAUAGCAUGCUUAUGUACACAUCCAAUACCAAGCAAUAGGAAUGCAAUUUUAGAGGAAAAUGAGUGUGUCUAGUAUCAAAUAAUAUAAGUUACAAAUAAGUUUGAUGAGAAAAGCAUUUAGUUAAUGUUGAUAAACAUGCUCAUUAACUAUCAUAUAUGUUCUGCGCUAAAAGUCUAGAUUUAUGAAAUAUAUACCUAAAUGAUUACAUGAAAGAAUAGAUCCCUUAUGUCUCAAAGUGGUGGUCUAAUAUAUACCCCACUCGAAUCACUUUAAAAGGGAAAAUAACAAGGUUAGCGAUAUNNNNNNNNNNNNNNNNNNNNNNNNNNNNNNNNNNNNNNNNNNNNNNNNNNNNNNNNNNNNNNNNNNNNNNNNNNNNNNNNNNNNNNNNNNNNNNNNNNNNUAUAUAUAUAUAUUAUAUAUAUAGCAUCUAUCCUAUGUCCAAAUGGAGGCACAAUAGGUGUCUGUUCAUGACCAGAGGGAUUGUGGAAAAUUCAUUUUUUUUUAGCCAAAGUCACAUACAUCAUCCAAACUACAUUUAUCUACAGACAAGUUUGUCGGCCAAAUUGAUUAACAAAAUUUGUUACUAAAGAUAUGUCAAUACACUUUUUGGUUUUGUGUUCUCUUUCCUGUUAAGACAACUUCGUCUACUUAUAAUUAGAAUGUAAAUAUAACCCUUUUUCCUUUUUCCUUGGCUACUUCUACCUAAGUUGGAAAUAUAAGGAUAUAUACACUUAAUUAGCAUAUGAUUGAAGAAAGUUGAAGCAUGUUAAUUCCAAAACAAACUUAUCUUUGAAUCUUUGAGGAAGGUUAAUGACAUGAGUUGUUGUGAAACCAAAGUGUAACAAUUUAAUUAAAUAUAGAUGAUUAUUGAAGUACAUUAUUCAGUCUCACUAUCACUUUUUCAGUACUCCACUAGUAGUUUACUACCAGUACCGCACUCUCUGCUAUAAUAGCAGAUACAUGCAUUAUAUCUCAGAAUAUCAAUUAUCUUUUAACUUUUCCUUCUCUCACGCCAAACAACAUACAAAAACAAACACUCUAUAUGGCCCCAGAUCAUAGAUCAUUGCACCUUUCAUAAAUACUAACUUUAUUUGAACAUCAAAAUAAAACCCUAAAUGUAAUACUAAACUAGAGAUUAGGGUUAUAAAUUCAUUAUUAAAGUAUAAUUAAGAUGAAGAUGAAACAUCCCACUCCACAAAGCAACUUUCAUAAAAAUUGUCUAACAAAAAAGUAAAAAAAAGAAAAAGAAGAUAGUAAAUAUAAUACUAAGGUAUAGGAUAUAUGUCUCCAAAUGGAUCAAGACUAAGAUCAAGAACAUGGUUUGAAACUGGUUUGCAACAACAAUUGAAGCCACAAUAUCACAGAAGACUAAGAAGAGUAGAACUUUUGGUGGAAUGUGAAACUAAUUAAUUGCUUUAUUGAGUUGAAGUUGGUGCAGGUGGGAGCACGGUUUGUUGUUGUUGUUGUGGUGGUUGCUUCCGCUUCUUCUUCUUCUUCUCAUAACUAAUGCCUCUUGCUUUGGACUGAAGAUCACGAACCUCACGUAGGUAAAGCCUCACAGCUCGAGCACCAAAUGGAUUUGCUUCUGGCUUUCCUCCAUUUUCCUCAAAAGCUGCACGAAGACGACCUAUGAGUGCAUCAAGACUACCCCAUGCUUGUUUCAAAGGGCAUGUACAUGGACCUGGAGGGUUAGGGUGCCCAUAGAAGGGACACAUUGGAGUGUGAACUUUGGUCUUCCCAAAUUGGUCUAGGUACCUAUACAUAUUACGUUAUUUUCAUCAACAAAUAUGUACCAAACUGGUAUGAUAGGAACAAAAUCAUUUUCGAAAAUCCUCGAUUUUCAUAUAAAUAAGGUAGUGGAUUUAAUUUUAUUUCAUUCGUAAAAUUAUUUCAAUGCUUGUUUUUCUACUUUCAAAUACUCUUUUGUGGAGUGGGUGACCUAGUUUAUUAUCUCUUUGGGUGUAAUGUUUUAAUGAGGUUUAUUGCUGACAAAAAAAUUGUAUACCAAACUGCUCUCAUAAAUAUUUGACUCCUUAAACUCAUCAUUUGAAGGAUGAAUUUAAUCAAACAAAUUAAAUUUCUUGUAAUAAAAAAUAUAGAGAGAAAACUUUGGUCUUGCCAGUUUACACAUAAUAACAAUUACAUUUAAUCAACAAAUUAAAAAUACAGUUUUUAUUAAACAAAUUAAGUUCAUGUUCAAGGUUGUAUAUAUCAGUUUGCUUAUAGAUUUUUAGUUGUUCUCCAUUCAUCAUGCUUUUUUCUUCCUGAGAGGGUGUUCUUGAUGAGACUCAUAUUAAUUCAAUAAAUUUUUAUUUUGAAAGAAUUUAAGAUCAUAUUAAAAAUUAAGGAUAAGAAGUGGUAAUCCAACUUAUAUACAUAUAGGAGUAGUGAAGUCCUUAUAUUGUAAUACUGCAAAAAAUAUUUAUAUUAUUUCAUACAAAAUCAGACAUAGAAAAAUAAGUUUCUUCAUGUCUAAAGACAAUUUUAUUCCGACGCAACCACAGAAUCUGACAACAAAAAACCAUGUCUACCAAGUUAUUACUGAGCUAGUAACUUCAAAGAUGAUUUUACUUUAAAAGAAUAAAUUGUUUGUAACAAAAAAAGGAAGAGAGAAAAGGGUAUAUAUAUGUGCGUGUACCUGAGAAAUUCAAGAACAUUUGCACCACUGCACCUAGAGAGUGAAAGAGGGGGACGGUGAUUCUUGAGGUACUGACCAAAGGUGUUCCAGUCACGGCGCUUCUGGUUCUCAUAGCGGCUUGUGGUGGCCGGAGAUGAGGAAGAGCUAGCACUAGCAGCUCCAAAGCUUGUAGUUAUGUUGGUGCUUGUGAUAGUGUUAUUUGUGAGGUUAUGUUCAGAGUUACUUGUGUCCAUAAAUUGUUGAAUUGAAUCCAUUUGAAAAAUAUUGAGUACUACUAUUACUAUUACUAUUAUUACUAUUACCUUUUAAGGCUUUUGCAUAGAUCCAAGGUUGUUGACUUUGUGUCUUCUCUUUGCUACAGCAUGCCUGCAAUACUUUUUAGCUGGGUCUCUAUUGUUCUAGGGUUCAUAAGAAAGUGACUAUAGUGAAAGUGUGAAGAGUGAGAGGUUAUUUGAGAUAAGGAAUUACUAUACCAUACUUAUAAUUUUAACAACUUGAGGAAUAGUUCUUUGUUUUUCUUACCUGAUACUAUUUAUGAGUAAUGAUAUUCUAAUAAUACUUUGCCAAUAUCAUUUUUUAUGCUUUUACUUUAUAAUCAUUGAUGAAGACAUUUUUAUUGUUUUCCAACCAACAAAUUUUUGAUCCAUAUAUUAUAGGUAUGAAAAGUAAUGUUUGUAAUAUUAAUGUGAGAUAUAUGAAAUUUUUCCUCACCAAAAGUAUUGUGUAUAACAGCAAAGUUUGAUAGCAAAUAUUAGGAAAAAGAAAUUGUUGGAUUCUUAUAAAGAGAAAUUUUCAAAUUUUGAUUUACAAAUUUGUUGUAAAAAAAAAUUCAUAAUUUAUUUGGGCGUAAAUAAAAAAUCAACAACAUAAUAAAUUCAUAUGAAAAUGUUAUAUUUGAUAAUGGAUACAUUAUAUGAUAUUAGAUUAGACAUGAAUACUUUAAUAAGAAAGUUGAUAAUUCAUAUCUUAGAAAAGAUGGUAGAAUAACAUCUUAAAUGGUUUGAGUAUGUAUGAUAGGUAAGAUUAAUUAUAUUGUGUUUUCUAUAUAAUAGAUUGAUAUUUCUUUGUAAUUCAAUUAUAUUCAUUGAAUGAAAUUCAUAAUCUUUUUCUUACUUGACUUCUAAUAAAAAUGAUUUAAGAUAAUAGUGAAUCUAUAUUGUGGAGUUCAGCUAGAAACUCCAAUUGUUGAUUACAGACUAUGAUAUUAAUAUAUAGAUGAGAGAGGGUGAUACAUAUAUAUAUAUAUAUAUANNNNNNNNNNNNNNNNNNNNNNNNNNNNNNNNNNNNNNNNNNNNNNNNNNNNNNNNNNNNNNNNNNNNNNNNNNNNNNNNNNNNNNNNNNNNNNNNNNNNUAUAUAUAUAGAGGGUUGAAACAAAAGAAGAUAUUGAUGUUGAGAAUGUGAUGAGAGUGUGAGUGGAGUGUUCCUCUUUGAUCUCUAUUCAAAUGUAAGUUUUCAUUGAGCAAUACUAGAAAAAGCUCCUAAGACAGUAGUAUUGGUUUUUUUUAGUAGCUUUGAUUUCUGAUAUUGUUAAGGGAUUGGAUAUUUUUUCCUUAAAAGGGUGGACCAGACUCAAAACUUUUCAGCAUCACUUGUUAAUGGUUUAUAAUAUAUUAUAUUCUUCCUUAGAUAUAUUAUAUUCUACCUUAGAGAGAGAGAAUGAAAAGAUGUUAGGGCUUUGAAGGAAAUAGGGAAAGAAGGGUUGGAGAGUAGGUUGAUAUAGGGACAGGAAAAAGCUUUGAAGGGGUAAAUUUUAGGGAAUAACAUGAUUCUGUUUCUUCACACUGUACCCUUCAAUGACAGUUCAUUUUGAAUUGACAACAUUACCCCUCACAAAUACCCCUUUUCACCUUUCUUUUCUCUUGAGGAAAAAGGAUAAAACUUUAUUUCUGAACAUCAAUUUGUCCCUUUCUUACCCUCAUAAAUAUCCUCACAUGAAUGUUAGACUAUAAAUAUAAUCUAAUAUAUGGUAUGAAUAUCCACAUACACAAGGUUAAACAAUUUCAAAUGUAGUUAAUCCAAGACCCAAAAUAGUUCUAUCUAGGAUCAGCUUAAAUGAAUUCCUAUUCUCUUUCUCAAGACAUUUCUACUAAAAUUAACAAUGAUGCAUAUUUAUGUCAAGGCAUUUGUCAAUAAUAAUAUCUUUACCAUUAACAUUAAUAUAUAUUAAUGAGUGAAAAUAAUGAUUUUGUUCAAAAUCAUCACUAAACAUAUUCUUUGAAUCAUUAGUAUAGAACCAUGAAAUAGAUAUUAUUUUUUAUUUGGUGGGACUAAGGGACAAUACAUUUAUACCCACUUUCUCAACUUCCUUCUACAAUUAUCAUUUGCAUGUAUUCCUUUGAAAGAAAGUUUUGUCAAUAUACAUAAAAAAAUUCGAUUUUGAAAGAAAGUUUUUUGUUUUUCCUCCAAUUCUUGCUGGCAUGUCCAUGAAAAAAUCUUCUAAUGUGAUCUUGUACUGUUUUCAUGCUUUUAAAUAAAUUGACUAAUCAAUAGUGUCUUUGGUUUUCUUUCUUUUCUCUUGUUCCAAUCAUAAUAUAUAGUGCCCAGAUUUUUUUAUUGUUACAUUAUUAACUUUCAAAUGCAAAACAUUAUAACCAUAUAAAUUAAAUGAAAAGACAACAAAAUGCUGAAACAGCAAAAUAAGGUAGAAUUAUUUAUGCUAGAUCACAAGAUUCUAUACACCAUUAUGUACAAAUGUAUACAAAAGUAACUUGGGAUUAUGAACUUGCCACUCCAACAAAAGAACAUUAUAAGUACAUCUAGCCAAGCUAAAGUUUCAGAUCUUGCUUCCAUCCUAAAACAAACCACUAGAAAGAAAUUAAGAACUUGAGAACAAUUCAUGAUACCAACAAGUGCAAAAAAAUAAAUAACUCAACAUGAUGACACAAAUGAUAGACUAAAACAGGAGAGAAUGAGAGAAAUGAAAUAAACAAAAUUGUGGAUUCUUCAUGAUUUUCCCUUCCCUUUAGCACCUUCGCGCUGAUUACGAAAAUGACUCAGAAGCUGUUGUGCCUACAUGUAUGUGAACAAGAUGUUAGUUUUUCUCUUACAUUUUAGAUUAUGCCCAUCACUUGUUACCUUGUAUGCCAUCAACUUUUAUAUGAUACCCUUCUCCUAAGUUUCUUUGUUAACGAAAUUUUCCAUGAUGAAACAAAUACUUUUCGCAUGCAUUCCGAUUUCUCCUAUCUUUCUACUUGAUAGGUAUCAACAGAUCAAAGAGAAAAUAUAUUAAACAAAACACAACAAAAGAGUUAUAGUUUCCCCCUUCGUUGUUUCUGGUGGAAAGGGGGAGAAUGAAUAAAAGAGAACAUCUUAGAAAGCGGGAUUUCAACAUUUAGCUUCAACUUUGCACACUAACAAAGACAAAGAGCCUGUUUGUUUAGUUGUUUUCUUUAAAAAUACAGUUUUGUAUUCAAUAAACAUCACUUGACACCGAUGUGCUUGUUUGAUUAGGAGAGUUGAUUUUUUCAGCUUCUCGGAAAUAACGUUCCUAGACUCUAAACAAUCAUUUCUGUAAAUCUAAACAAAGCAGCCGAAAUAAUGAUUAACUAUGUACCUUUUCUCUAGCUCUUGGUGUACCACACUGAGAUAUUGCAACUAGGGGAGGCACAGCUCCUUCUUGCAAAACCAAGGUACAAAACUUGGGACUAUGAAGACAUAGUUGCAAGAGAAUGGAAGCAGCAUUUUCCUUUCCCCUCUGAGAACCUGAUUCAAUAAUUUCAACUAGCAAGGGUAUGCCCCCUUCCCUCACAAUUUCUAGUUGACCUUCUGAAAUUGUCGACAGGUUUGCCAAAAGAGCAACAGCCUUGUCAACCAUUCCACAUUCAGGGUCCAACAGCAGAACCAGAAACUUCACCGCUCCAGCUUGAACAAUACGAGCUUUAUUCUCGUGAAAUAUUGAUAGGUUAAAUAAAGCAGUAGCAGCAUCUUUCUUUCCCCUGAGAGUUCCUGAGGCUAGAAGAUUCACCAAAGCCUUAACUGCACCAGAACGGCCGAUUUUCGGCUUAUUGUUUUCUAUUACAGAGAGGCUGAAUAGAGCUGCAGCAGAGUUCUCCUUGGCACCGUCAUUUCCUGUCUUCAAAACAUGAAUAAGUGGCUCUAUGGCUCCUGCUUCCAUAAUCAAGGCCUUGUUGUCUUCAUUUAUCGACAAAUUCAGCACUGCUGUUACGGCAUGCUCUUGUGUUAUCUUCACAUCCGAAUAUAGCAAUGAAAGUAAAGGCGUGAUAGCUCCACUCUUCCCUGCAAUGAUACGGUUUUCCAUGUCAUGCUUCGUAAGGAGCCUCAAUUUUUCUGCAGCAGCAGUUUGUACUUCAUUUGAAUGAUUGUGAAGGUCUUCGAUCAACUUUUUGACAUGAGAUGCGGGGGUCAUUUCAUCAGAUUGUACGUUGGAAACAGGAUGAGAAUCAACUUUUGAAUGACUAUGAAUGAUAAUAUUAUCAUUCUUAUUAUAAUUAUUUCCAUCCUGCAUCCUUCCAUUUUUUGAUCCCAGGUUUUCAAAUAGCUUUCCUGAUAAUGAAGGAGAAAUUACCAAUUCUUUACUUGCAGGCGAAGCAGGACACCGAUUUGUGGUUUCACCAGAAAACUCCACAUUUUGAUGCUUAUUAGAUACCCUUGAUGCCUCUUUUGAAACUGGAAGUACAUAAUCAGCACUGGAAAUAGAACUUGAAAAUGAUUCACUUCUGCUGUGACUACACGAAGGUGCUGAGGAUUGCUGCUCAAACUUUUCUGUCUCUCCACUCUGGAGUCCAUUGGAUUCUCCACUUAAUCUGAAAGUGAUAUCACCCUUUUUCUUCUCAGAUGCCUUUCCACUUUGAAGAGACGAUUUUGAAGUGGAAUUGCUACUACAUGAAGAUCCAAAACUACACGCACGGUCUAAAUCUUGGGGAAAAUGAUCCGAGGGGGGUGAAAUAUGUGAAAAUUUCUCGUUCUUCGAGUUAUCGAGAAGUUUGACAUUAUUUUCCUCACACCAAUUCACUAUCAUAGUUUUCACGGUAUAAUUAGGAAUGAGAUUCGUAUGCGUAAGUCUCUGAUGAGUCUUUGGACAAACAGUUAACCCAUGAUCAAGCCACUUUUGGAUGGAUUGCCUCUCGUAUGUCUGACCUGAAGCUACAAUAACAGGAUCCAGCAUGAGUUCCAACGAUAAUGGACAUCGGAAGUAUGGUGGGACAGAGACACCACUUCUGAUUUCAUGGCACUCAAUUUUCAUCGCAUAAUCACGUAAAUCACAGACAAGAUUCACAAUUUGGUUAGUUUCAUCCAACUCCCCUUUCAUUUUAUUGACUUCAGUGUUCAAUCUUUCCUUUUCCACAGCAAUACUUUCUUUCAAGAGCUCCUGGUUUGAUGUGAGUUCAAGUAAAUCAAUGAUUUCCUUUAGAUUUUCAUAGCAAGGUUUGACAUUAUCCCUUUGGUUUCUAAGCGCUUUUUCUAUAUAAACCACUGCUGUUUCCUUCUUAAGACACUGAAGUUCCUGCAUAUAUUUCUGAAGAAGUUUCUAGCAAUUAGUCUGACAAUUCUAUUGAUCAACUAGAUACCCAAAAAAAUUGACAAUAACUACUCCUGAAAAAUACAGGAGUGUGAUUUUCUUCCCCCAUACCUGAAUAUUAGCCAAACCUGAAGUAUAUGGAGGUGAGUUUAGGCAUCUAACUAGCAUGUGACAAAUCUCAAGUGAAGUACUUUGUAAUUUAAUCAACAUUUCCCCACUCUGAAGAACCUGAAAAUAAAAUAAUCCCAACAAAACAGUGAAGAGGUUUUCAUUGUUUGCUUUCAACCUUCAUAUGCCAACAAAGAAGCUUAGGAUCUUAACCAAAUUGGAAUAACAGUUGCUGAACGAUAGUAUUGGUUUGAACAAAACACAAGUAAUUACUUACACCGUGAAUCUUGCUCAUCUUUGAACUCAAUUUUUCGAUGAACUCUCUAGCUUCAUUAACUUGCAUAUCCAAUUCUUCACAUUCUGUAUUUAGAUUUUCAUCCAAAGGGAUUUUGUAAUCCACAACAUCAUCAAGCACUGGUUUCAAGCACUUCAAAACACCAACCAUAUUAUUACAGUUAUUCUGAAGGGGCAUAGGUUUCACUUUUUGGCAAGAAACUAGAUGAAUAAAUCGAGAAAUGCUGUUGAUAAGACAUUUCUUUGAAGUUGUAUCCAUUUUACCUGAUAUAUGGCAAAAAAAUAUAACAAACUAAUAUUACACAAACAAUAACUUGAUGCAAAAGAUAGUUCCACCUUAAUUUAGUAUCCACUUCCAGUUAUGUUAUGAGUUAUGACUGUCCAACAAGUUAGUGAUAAAAUAAGAUUCCAUUGGUGAGAAAUAUUUCCAUGUAAAAAUACAGAUCGAACUAGUGACUCUACGGAGCAUUUGGAAGAGCUUAUUUGGGCCUAUAAAGUAGCUUUUGACCUUCCUACAAUACCGAAGCUUGUAAAAGUAAGCUCCUCUUAGCCUCUUCAACAAAAAGGUCAAUGAAUAAGCACUUAAUUAAGUUUUUUAGCUAAAUGUACGCCUAAUAGGUAAGCAUAUUUGAAUGUCAUAUGAAAGCAGAUAACAUGAAUAAAUUUGCUUGGAAUAGAACCAACUGAAACAAAAGCAAAGACAAAUGGAUUUCACUUGCAGGUAAAAUGGUUCUAAUGCUACAAACAAAAUUACAAAGAGGGUUAUAAAUAUAAUUAUGAAUAAUUUUACUAAAAGUGGACAAAUGCAAUAGCUUAUACAGGCCUAUUCCAACAAAAAAGGUGCAAGCAAGUCAAAGUCCAUUGAAGAAGAAAGAAAGAGGUUCCACUAAAAUAAUUGUGGGAAAACAACAAAGUCAACUGAAACUAUCCUAAUUCAAUUUUGACAUAGAAUUCUUCAUCUUGAAUAACCAUACACUAAUAAAAUACUCAAAAGUAUCCUCUUUGAUUAGCAAUUUCACAAAUUCACCUUUCUAUAACCAAUUUAAGAAAUCACUUACAAAGAGUUUCAACAGCAACAUGGCAAAAAGUACCCAAUUUGUUAAGCAAAUUCUCAUAUUUAUAGCACCCUCGUUAUUCCACACAAAACCCAGAAACCACCCAAAAGCUCAGAUUUUUGGUAAUUUUUUUUAUAGAAGAUGACCCAAUGAAUCAAAAAACAAAAGGGCACCUGAGAAAUUCUUUAAAAAACGAAUUUUGUGAGCAAAAAUAGAAGCUUUAGGAUGAAUUGCAAUGCCAUACCUAUAUGCAUGGUUCUGAAAGUAAGAGGUAAAACAGAUCCUUGUCAAUUCCAAUCCAUGGUAAUAGGAAGUUUCGAAAAAAACAAAGUGAAUUGUGAAUUUGAAUGGUGAGUGAUGAAAGGUUGCUUCUUAAUCUUGGUUCAUAGAUACCUUGAAUUCAUUUCCCAACAAAGCUACCUGGAAAAGCCUGAGACACAAGGUCCAACAACUAAAGCCAAAUUUUGAUCAAAUUAAGAAAAGAAAUAACAACAACAGUAAUAAUGAUAAAAAAACAAAUAAUAAAGCAGAAAAAUGAGUUAAUUAAUGACAUAUUUGUUUACUAUUUUCUUACAAAAUUCAUUAAAUUUUGAUUUUGUGUGUCUUUUAUUGUAUGAAAUUAUUUUUCAUUUAUAAUAUACUCAAUUUUUAAUAAUUUUAACAAAUAAAAAUCCUAACUCUCGAAUUAGAUAAGCUAUUUUUAUCAUACUUAGUCAUAUCAAAAUAUCUGCCAGCAAUUAAUCUACAUUGGUACAAAUAUAUUUACUUGGCAUACCAAAGUUUUGUUUGUAAUAAAUAUAGAUUAUUAUAAUGUCAAAACAUAAAAUCAAAUCUUUCUUUACAAAAAUACUAUUUUAUCCAUCUAUCUUAUUAAUAAAUUGUAAGUUAGCCAUCCAACAAAAAAGUUUUAAUUUAAUCCUUAAAUUUUCAAUGUUUGUCAACAAAAAUUUGUAAUAGUAUUAGAUUUCUGCAUGAAAGAUGGAGUCAUAGUCAAAAAUACUUUUCUAAUAGCUGGAAUAUUGGUUUUUUAUUGGAACUUAAUUAAUUGUUAUUUUGUCAGCAAAAUAUCUGUUUGGAAUGUUAUUUUAAUAUUCCUUCCAUAUGCUACUAUACUAUGGCUUUUCUUUUUCUACCUCAAACCUGGGCUGAAUAUUUAAAAUCUCCAUAUAUUAAUUCACUAGUUUUUAUCAUGUGUCCCAAACCUAAGCAAUUAAGUAAAGAGAAUGAUAUUCAUAUAUAGUUUCUGCUAAGUCAUAUAUGUAUAUAAAUAACCCUUUUUGUUUGAUACAAAUAAGUGAACAUCACUAUUCACUAGUACCUUUGAUAGUGAGUAACAGUACUUGGUUGGGACAAUUUUGCUGGCUAUUGAAUUGCACCAAUAUAACCAAGCCAUCAUUUAGAUCCAAAGCAUUAAAAUGUGUCUGUGUAUUUGUAGCAAGCAUGUGACCCUACACCAACCCGUGAAAUUUUUGACAUGGUUCAUCUCAUUGUAACUUUCCAUUGAUUUUCAUGAUUACCUUUGCAACACGUCAUAUUAUGCCUUUAGUUAGUUUCAACCAAAUUGGUACAUAGGACCAUGUUAUCUUUUUUCUUAAGGUUUCUGUCUUAUUUUCUUUAAACUAGUUAUAUGUGUAUAAUUUUGGUAGACUAACUCAGAAUCUAAUGGUGUGUUAGAAAAAACCUUUCCUAAAGUGGUAACUCUAGUUCAUAUAUAUGAUCUCAUGAAUAAAGUAUGAUACAAUUUAGUGUCAUGGAUAUUAUUGGCAUUUUUUGAGUUAGACAAAACAAAUUGAUAUAUUGUUUCUUUGAAAAUGUGUGGUGGUCCUUGUGUUGCAUCUUUAUUUCACAAGUCAAAGUUUCUUUCACAUUUUCUUCCUUUCAUAAGUGAAAGUAAUACCAACAACACCAUUUCACAUGCUAGCUUUGAUGGCUGAACUUUCUUCACACUAACAAAAAAGAAACUUCCUCAGUUAAGAUUAUACAUAAGAAUUUCUAUAUAUGUAUUCAGGUCAUGGAAAGUUGAAACUUAACCAAAAUGAAACAAAGUUCAUUUUUUUCAAUGAGUUGGGGAAGAUAAAACUAGAACCCAACCAACACAUUUCAAUUCAUAUUCAAGUAUUAAAGGAAAAAAACUAUUCCUAAUGAUCAUUUCAUUCCUAAUAACUUGAAACUUAAUUUUUAACAUUCUUCUAGUAGAUAUUCAAAUGAUUUGGAAGAUUUUGUAUUUAAACUUAAUAAUAAAAGUUAUGAGUUUCAAAAAAGUUUUUUUGUAUUAUUAAAUUUAUAGAUUUACUUUAAAAACAAAUAUACAUCACUUAUAUGUAAUAUUGUAAUACGUUAUUUUGUUUUUUGAGAUUCACAUUAAAUUUAAUUACUAUAAUAACAUUAUUUUGAUCUAUAAUAUUCUUUAUUUUGAUGUAAAGUUCUACUAAUCCAAAAGCAGCUUUAAGAGUUUGAGAAGGGUACCCACACAAACCGAAAUAAACAAAAAGUGAAUGAAUGCCAACAAAAUUUAUAUUUUUGGUACUGACAAGGGUAUUAUUUACUCAUUUGGGUAAAAAACUAAUCCUUUCAGAUUCAUAAUAUCUUAAUAAGUGUCACUUUCGAGAAAUAAAUUUGGCGGUUUUAGAGAUCCGGUAAGGUCUUAUAAUACUAUAUCAAAACAUGUGAUUGGUAACAAAAUUUAAUUUGAGAAUAUUAUGUUUGACUCUACUCCCUCUAGCGAAAGGACAGGGUGAAGCAACAACACAAUCUCGUUCUCUUAUUCUAUCAAUCUAGGGUUCCUUCUCACUCUCCAUUUCCAGGUUUUGAUUCUCUCCUUUUCUUCCUCCUUAUUAUGUGUUUAUGCUACACCAAUUCAUGCAAUAUUUUAUUUUCUUUCUCUUUAUUCACAUUAACUAUAAUAACUAAAUCAUCAUACUUUAUCAUUUUAGCUAUUAGGGUCUCAUUGCUUUAUAUUCUUAAUUAAAUCUUCAUUUUUCUCCAUCUCAUUUACACAAUCAAUCAAUUUCCUCUUUCAGAUUGCAAAGUUCCUUUACUUUUCAAACAUUCAAUCAAUUGGGUCCCUAAUAAAAUAUUUUUAACAUUCUCACAAGGAUCAAAAUCAUUUAUUUGCAAAGUCAAAGACCAAGUUGACAUUUUUUGUAAUCUCAAUGUCUGAAUUAACGUUUUACUUGAUUAUCAUGUUAUUAGAUAAUGUAGUGUCCAAAAAUCUGGUCUAAAAUAUUCAGUGUUUUUUUUUUUUCAUUCAAAAACAGCUGUAGAAAUCCUCUUAUACUCUUGCCAAAUACCUUUGUGCCUCUGCAGAUUUUUAUUUUGGAGCAGCAACAGUUUUUUUUUCCAUCAAAAGUAAUCUUAACCAAACAACACUUUAAUCCUCUGCUUUAUAUUUCAUUAUUUAUUGCAUAAAGGCACAUAUACAUAUAGACAUAUAGACAUAUUCUUUUGUGUUCCCUUUUACCUUUGUCAGAAACAAACAAUGGACAAGUUGAAGUUAGCACAACUAGGUGAGAGGCUGAAAACGGGUGGAGCACAAAUGGGUCGGAUCGUGAGCGGAAAAAUGAAAGAAAUCUUGCAAACUCCCACACCAGAAUCAAAGAUGGUUGAUGACGCUACGUUGGAGGCAUUGAAUGAGCCAAAUUGGAGCCUGAACCUUAGGAUAUGUGGCAUGAUCAAUAGUGAAGAGUUCAAUGGUUCUGAGAUUGUUAAAGCAAUCAAGAGGAGGAUUAAUCAUAAGAGCCCUGUUACUCAAAGGCUUAGCUUUGACCUUUUGGAAACUAUUGCUAUGAAUUGUGAGAAGGUGUUCUCUGAAGUAGCAUCUGAGAAGGUGCUUGAUGAUAUGGUGAGGUUGGUACAGAAUCCAGAAGGGGAUGGGAAUAAUAGAAAGAGGGCUUUUCAGUUGAUCAGGGCUUGGGGCGAGUCUCAGGAUCUUGCUUAUCUUCCUGUCUUUCGUCAAACUUACAUGGUGAGUUUUAACUUGAGUGUAAAUGGAUCCCUCUUCAUUUGUUAAAAAGUGAUUUUAAUAUAAUCUAAUUAGUUUGGAAUUGUGUAAAAGAAUGACUUUAUAUAGUAAAUUACAAAAGAAGAUGAAGUUCUCUGUUUGGUAGUUAGUUCUGCAAGGGUGAAAUGAAAAAAGUGAUUAAUAAGUUUCAAAUAAUCAAAUAGCUAUUUUAAAUCAGAUUCAAAAUUAUAGUUUAUGUAAAAACUGCUUUUUAUACUUUAAUUAGGUUUGCGAAAUAUGUCAUAUUAAACUCGAAUUAGGUUUUGAGCAAGCUCAUAUUGUGAAAAGGUUUUCUGUUUUCGUAUGGAGCAUUUUAUGAUUCACCCUAAGGUUAUCCAUGGUUGAGAUGUCUUGUUAGCUACUCUUGUAUUUUCAUUAUCUAUUGGUCCACAAAGCACUGUAUUAGGGAAGAUGAUACAAGUUGUAUUGAUUCAGAAAAAUUCAGAAUUAUCUUUGAACAGCAGCUUUGUUGUUUUGGGAACUAAGAUGACUUUUAUUGUUAAAUGUAGUUUCUAGAUAUUGUUGCAUAAGUGUGCUAUGUCAAAAUAGCAUUUCCCUGGUAACCUUGGAAGUUUUAUCUUUUACAAAAUUUUGAUUUUGAUGUGCAUAACUGCAUGCUGCUUCACGUUCUCGGUUAUUUUGUAGUCUUUUGUUUUUAUGUUUUUAUAUGUCUGAUUCUUCUCCAUCCUUUGGUCACGUUUAACUGAUUCCUACAUCCUCCUUGGUUGACGGCAGAGUUUGAAAGAAAGAGAAGAACCACUAGACUUCGGAGGAGACAAUUCACCAACUGCUCCAUAUACCUUGGAGUCAUAUUUGGAUCAACAGCGUUUAAAUCCACCUGGAAUAUACCCUAUUCCUCCAUCAGGAUCACUUCAUGCUUUGAAUGAUUCAUCUUUCUCUUCUGACCAACACAUAUCAAUUGAAGAGAAGAAAGAGCAUCUUGUGAUUGCACGAAACAGUCUUGAAUUGCUCUCUAGCAUAUUAAAUACUGAGGAAGAGCCAAAACCUUUGAAGGUAAAGAAAAAGGCAUCAUUCUGUGAGUAAUAAUAGAUUGGUGAUUUUUUACUACUUCGUGAUGCUUCUUGUAUCAUGUAUGUAUCAUCUAGUCUCUACAGAUCUUUGAAUGUUGAAAUUCCAAAAUAAGUUACCUUUCAAUACAAGGGUGCUGUCUAAAUGGAGAUGGGGCAUUGAAAGAAUUUUUUUUUCCCUUUUCCCCACUCUAAUCUAGUUAGUACUGUCAGAUAAUUUAUGUAUCUAUAUAUAGAAGAGUUGUGCUAAUUAGUACAAAAGGAAUAUGUGACAUAAUUUAAUGCAGCCAAUAGGAUUGGAGAACUAUACUAAAAAGUGGAUAAAAUAGUGUAAGAGUUAGAUACUGAAAGUCAUUUACUACAUAUACAAGCUCCAUGGACAAUGUACGAAUUCCAGUUCGUAACGUGUUGCCUUUUCCGUGUAUAGAAUCGUUGUUUACUAAUAGAAUUUAAAAUAUUCUUGUUUGGUUGCAGGAAGAACUAACUCUGAACUUGUUGGAUAAGUGCAAGCAGUCACUCUCUAUCAUCAAGGGGAUUGUGGAAAGUACCACAAAUGAUGAAGUAACACUUUUUGAGGCUUUGUAUCUUAACGAUGAGCUGCAACAGUUAGUUUCAAAAUAUGAAGAAUUGGAAGCUGCUGGCCAACAACAACCUCAAAAUGCUGACACUGCCAAGAACAAUGCUGAAGCUAUUCAAAAUCCCAACAAACAACUUGAAAGACCUGAAUCUGAAGAGUCUGAAGCUAUUCGGAAUGUUGAAAGGAAGCUGCCUGAAAAGUUUAAUGCUCUUGAAAUCAAUGCAAACGAUGAGGAUCGUCAUGUUGAAACCAAAAUAGAGGAUAGCACGAAAGAGAAUGGUGCUGGAUCUAGCAGGAAGAUAAAUAAUGAGUAGAGUAAAGCAAAGGGGGGCAUGUUUCUUCUAGCAUUAUAUUUUGUUGUUGUUAAUAGUGUGUAAGAACUCUAUAGUUUCUUCAUUGCAGGUGUUUCCUCCUGAAGGCUGUGAUACUUCAAUCUUGUGAGAGAUCAUACUAGUUUCUCAUAAUGUUAAUUUGGUUUGGCCCUACUCUUUUAAGUUAUGCAUGAUCUCAUUUUGAUUCUCUUCCCUAGAACCCUUGAUUAAUUUGAGAGAAAGACCUUAAUUGAUGCACAUGUAUGAAAUAAACUAAGGGCACAUUUGAGGAAUUGGAUCAAGAAUUAGCUCACAAUAUUUUCCUUUAUAGAUGUUACCCCUCUAUUUCCCUAGUAUAUUGUGAUAUAAUUGGACAAGAAUUGAUAAAAUGAAUGUUUAGAUACACAAUUUUAAGACACAUAAGGCUAUUCUCCAAAACUUGAGAACUACUUUGCACAAGGUACUACACCUUUUCUUUUGCUUCUAUUCCUUUCUAUACCUUUUUAUUUUAACUAUUAUUUGGUUCAAAGGCAGAAGGAGAAGAAGAAGAAGAAGGUAGGGAUAAAAAAGAGGGUUAUAUUUAUUGUGGUGGAUCUGAAGAUGGCACACAAGACAAACAAAAUGAUAGCAAAGAAACAAUCAACUUAAAGCCAAGACACAAUUUUGUUAAAACCAGUAAAAUAAAUAACAGGAAGUGAAAUCCGGUGCAAGACAGGAUUAUUAUUAUUAAAACAAAUGAAAAAAAGUUAAAUUGAAUUUGGUAAAACAGAAAGAAGUAUUUCUUUACCGCAGGUAUCCUCGUACCGGAGGCAAUCAUGUUUGAGCCGGGAACAUCCAUAGGUACGUGGGGCUGACUAUCUCAACGAACAUUUUUUCUAUCCACAAGAUUCGAACCUGAAACUUUGCUUAAGAGAAAUCAAACAUGUAGCACUUGAAUCAUUGCGGGUAGGUAACAAAAAACAGCAUUUGUGAAAGGAAACAAUGGUCCCUGCCACUAGCAUUGCACCUGAGCAGAAAAUUGCAAUAUAAACAAUCUUACUCAUUGUUUGGUUAUACACAUUAAAGGCCACAUACCGUAUCAAACUUGAUGAGGUGUAACACUAACACCUUCAAUAGCCAUGCAUGCAUGAAGAAUGUCUAUUCCUCAUAACCACACCUUCUCUUACGUGUCCCUCCACAACCCUCCUUACUUCACUAUAAAUAAAACCAAACCAAGCCUCAUGUUAUCCACAUCACACCCAACAAAACAUUCUUUGAAAUUGUCCUUAAUGGCUAAUAAGCUUCUUGCACUCUCACUUUUCCUUCUUUUCAGUGGGUGUUUUGCUUCCACGUUUAGACAGCAGCCACAGCAAAAUGAGUGCCAGUUCCAACGUUUGAAUGCACUUGAACCUGAUAACAGUGUAAAGUCUGAAGCUGGAACCAUAGAGACAUGGAACCCCAACAAUGAUCAACUAAGGUGUGCUGGUGUUGCACUCUCUCGUUGCACCAUUCAACGUAAUGGACUCAGAAGGCCUUUCUACACCAAUGCACCCCAAGAAAUUUACAUCCAACAAGGUCCAUCUUCUUCAAAAUUUCACACAUAUAUCUCUUGUUACUUAUGUUACUAAGUAAUGGUUUUUUUGUGUAUGCAUGCAUGCAAUAAUAACACUAUAUAUAACUACAGGAAGGGGAAUAUUUGGCUUGAUUUUCCCUGGUUGUCGUGAGACAUAUGAAGAACCACAGGAACAAGAACAAGGGCAAGGUCCUAGGCCACAAGACCGUCACCAAAAGGUGGAACACUUCAGAGAAGGUGACAUAAUAGCAGUGCCUACUGGUGUUCCUUUCUGGAUGUACAACAAUGAACAAACUCCUGUUAUUGCUAUUACUCUUAUUGACACCACUAACCUUGAUAACCAACUCGACCAGAUUCCUAGGGUAAUAACUAACUAUUCACUUUGUAUGUAACAUGAAAUAAUCAUAGUAAAAAAUUUCAUGACAUGUGUAUUAUAUACUUGACAGAGAUUCUAUCUUUCUGGUAACCAAGAACAAGAGUUUCUACAAUAUCAACAGAAAGAAGGAGGACAAGGGCAACAACAAGAGGGAGGAAAUGAAGGUGGUAAUGUUCUGAGUGGCUUCAAUGAUGAAUUCCUAGAAGAAGCUUUCAGUGUUGAUAGGGAGAUAGUGAGAAACAUAAAAGGUAAGAAUGAUGAUAGAGAAGGAAGCAUUGUGGAAGUGAAAGAAGGUCUCAAAGUUAUAAGCCCUCCAACAUUGCGACCAAGACAAGGAAGAGAGGAAGAAGAAGAAGAAGAAGAAGAGGAGGAGGAAAGGAGAGGAGAUCGUCGUCGCCACCGCCCCCACCACCAUGAAGAGGAGGAGGAGGAAGAGGAAUGGAGCCACCAAGUAAGGAGAGUUCGUCGCCCUCACCACCACCGUGAAGAUAGAAACGGACUUGAGGAGACACUUUGCACAUUGAAACUUCGCCACAACAUUGGUCAAUCUACAUCUCCUGAUGCAUACAACC
Molecule: long non-coding RNA, 27215 nt
Filed under: Lupinus angustifolius (narrow-leaved blue lupine)
Lineage: Eukaryota; Viridiplantae; Streptophyta; Magnoliopsida; Fabales; Fabaceae
Description: long non-coding RNA (LANG_LNC000892)
Source: RNAcentral